RNAcentral lists this long non-coding RNA (214 nucleotides) under Gossypium barbadense (sea-island cotton). RNAcentral describes it as "long non-coding RNA (GBAR_LNC021680)". The record is from RNAcentral. Lineage: Eukaryota; Viridiplantae; Streptophyta; Magnoliopsida; Malvales; Malvaceae.
UCAUGGCCGGCAACACAUGUAGCAAGUUUGAAGGUUUCAAACUUGCUUUUUAAAGUAGGGGCAAAUCUAGAAAGGCAUGAAUAGUGGAGGGGUUUGAAUGAAAAUUAAAGGAGUCUUCAAGGGAUAUUUUGCAAGCCAAAUAAGCUAAUUGGGUCAGCAUGUGGGACGGUUUUGGGUAGCCCAGUGCUCGGUUGGAUCAGUUUUCUCAAUUCAG